Molecule: non-coding RNA, 45 nt
Filed under: Trichobilharzia regenti
Lineage: Eukaryota; Metazoa; Platyhelminthes; Trematoda; Strigeidida; Schistosomatidae
Source: RNAcentral
AUCUAGGAGACGAGUCCCAAAUGGGACGAAAUGCGCAUCCUGGAU